Molecule: ribosomal RNA, 303 nt
Filed under: uncultured bacterium
Lineage: Bacteria
Description: partial 16S ribosomal RNA
Rfam family: Bacterial small subunit ribosomal RNA
Source: RNAcentral
AGCAGUCGCCGCGGGAAUACGAAGGGGGCUAGCGUUGCUCGGAAUGACUGGGCGUAAAGGGCGCGUAGGCGGUUUCGACAGUCAGAUGUGAAAUUCCUGGGCUUAACCUGGGGGCUGCAUUUGAGACGUCAAGACUAGAGUGUGAGAGAGGGUUGUGGAAUUCCCAGUGUAGAGGUGAAAUUCGUAGAUAUUGGGAAGAACACCGGUGGCGAAGGCGGCAACCUGGCUCAUUACUGACGCUGAGGCGCGAAAGCGUGGGGAGCAAACAGGAUUAGAUACCCCGGUAGUCCCUGUCUCUUAUAC